CACCACGAAGACCCUUCCCAUCCUUUGACCUUCCCAAGAAGGACACUUGACACAUGUUUAGUUUAGGAUAGUGACAGUGAUUAGAGGAAGGAGAAGAGACUCUGAAGCUGAGCCAUUUGUCUCCGCUGAAGAAAGAAACGACAACCUGUAGGGUCUCCUAUUCCCACAAACCUAUCUCCUCCUUUAUGUUACUUGAAUUAAUAAACUACCUUGUUUUGAAGAAACUCGAAGUCAGAUUCAAAUCAGAAGAACAAAGAAAGAGAAGGUGUUGGCUAGGCUGGCCAUUUAGCCUUGGCUAAACAACAAAGAACCAACAGGGACGGUCAGCCUGCCAGACAAGUGGGACUUCUGGGGGGUCAAGUACCAGUCAAGCCAUGAGAGAAGUAAACUCCAUUAUUCCCCAAGAGCCUACUCAUUGAGACACUGCCCCUAUUCAUCCUUGCCUUAACAUCAGCUCAGGGGUACCUCUCUGGAAGCUUAGUAUACCCACCAGAACUGUUAUGCAGAUCCAGUGAGAUAAGAUGGGAAGCAGAUCAUGAUCAUCCAGCCUCCCAAGGCAGUCCUUGUGAAGGCACCAAGGAAGAUGUGGUAAAAAUGUGGAUGGUUCUAUUCAGCCCCUUUCCAUUACCAAAGAAAUCAUUCAAGUCAUCAUACCUUCAUUACCUACUUUGUACCACAGCUAGGAGGAAAAUGAACAUUAAAUGUACGAAGAAAAAUAUCAGGAAUGAAACCUAUACCAGGACGGUUUCUAUUAAAACGACAUUGAAAAAGAGAAGAACAGAAUGAAAACUACUACUACUACUACUACUACUACUACUACUACUACUACUACUACUACUACUACUACUACUACUACUACUACUACUUCAUUUUAGGAGGCAUCCAUUGGUUGGGGAAUGGCUGACCAAAUAGUGGUAUAUGAUAAUGAUGGAAUACUAUUGUGCUGUAAAAAAUGAACUGGAGGAUGUCAACAUGAACUGGAAGAACUUCCAUGAACUGAUGCAGAGUGUAAUAAGCAGGACCAAGAGAACAUUGUCCACAGAAAGUGAAACAUUGUGGAAUGAUCCAAUGUAAUGGACUCUACAACUAGUAACAAUGCACUGAUCCAGGACAGUCCCAAGGGACUUAUGAGAAAGAAUGCUAUCCACAUCAAGAGAAAGAACUGUGGGAAUAUAAAAGCAGAAGAAAAAUAUACGACAUCACUUGUUUAUAUGGGUGCAUGAUUUGGGGUUUUGGUUUUAAAAGAUUGCUCAAUUGCAAAAAUGAAUAAUAUAGAGGGAGGCAGAAUCAAGAUGGCUGCAUAGAGGCAGCAAAUGUUCAGGCCUCUGAAAACUCUUCCUUACUGAUUGCAAAGUAAAUGCUCCUAAGGGACUAAAAAUCAAACCGAACAACAAGACAGAGCCAAGGAACCCUUCUGCUGGAUUCACCUUAAAAAGCAUUCCCCCAAAAGCUGGAAUUUGGGAACACUCCUGUUUAAGGGGAAGGAAGAAGGAAGGUCCUGGGACCCCUCCCCCAUAUAGAGGGCUAAGCCUCCAGUGGCAGCUGGAACCUCUGGGUGGGCAAAGGUGCUGGUCUGGAGGGAAUACCUUGAGGGCAAAACUGUGCCAGGCUCAGAGUGUCCAACACAGGCAGUGGGGAAGCAGAUAGGGGAGAAGCACAGAGUGCAGAGUGGGAGACAGAGUUGCAGCAGUGGAGACACUCCAUAUUGACACCUCCCCCUUCCUAAGGCUAUGGCCCCAGGGCACAUCCAGCAACCCAACCAGACUUAAUCCCAUCAAAGCCUCCA
This 1786-nucleotide long non-coding RNA is filed under the name Monodelphis domestica (gray short-tailed opossum). RNAcentral's name for it is "lncRNA (ENSMODG00000033556.2)". The record is from RNAcentral. Lineage: Eukaryota; Metazoa; Chordata; Mammalia; Didelphimorphia; Didelphidae.